RNAcentral lists this ribosomal RNA (268 nucleotides) under uncultured bacterium. RNAcentral describes it as "partial 16S ribosomal RNA". It matches the Rfam family "Bacterial small subunit ribosomal RNA", at positions 85 to 354 of the family's 1533-position model. The record is from RNAcentral.
CGGCCGGCGACCGGCGCACGGGUGAGUAACACGUAUGCAACCUGCCCUCUUCAGGGGGACAACCUUCCGAAAGGGAGGCUAAUCCCGCGUAUAUCGGUUUCGGGCAUCCGAGAUCGAGGAAAGAUUCAUCGGAAGAGGAUGGGCAUGCGGCGCAUUAGCUAGACGGCGGGGUAACGGCCCACCGUGGCGACGAUGCGUAGGGGUUCUGAGAGGAAGGUCCCCCACACUGGUACUGAGACACGGACCAGACUCCUACGGGAGGCAGCAG